GGCAGUGUAGUCCAGUGGGUAGGGCACUUGCUUGGACACAGGUGAUCUGGGCUUUAUUCCUAGCUCUGCUG
Molecule: transfer RNA, 71 nt
Filed under: Chelonia mydas (Green sea turtle)
Lineage: Eukaryota; Metazoa; Chordata; Testudines; Cheloniidae
Rfam family: tRNA
About the family: Transfer RNA (tRNA) molecules are approximately 80 nucleotides in length. Their secondary structure includes four short double-helical elements and three loops (D, anti-codon, and T loops).
Source: Rfam by way of RNAcentral